Molecule: ribosomal RNA, 1923 nt
Filed under: seawater metagenome
Description: bacterial LSU rRNA
Rfam family: Bacterial large subunit ribosomal RNA
Source: RNAcentral
CUACACUCUUUCCCUACACGACGCUCUUCCGAUCUCGACAAGAGGCGAUGAAGGACGUUGUAGCUUGCGAUAAGCUUCGGGGAGGUAGCAAACAACCUUUGAUCCGAAGAUUUCCGAAUGGGGAAACCCGGCCAUUUUUAAUGGUCACCCUUUACUGAAUACAUAGGUAAUGUGGAGCGAACCUGGGGAACUGAAACAUCUAAGUACCCAGAGGAAAAGAAAUCAACCGAGAUUCCCUUAGUAGCGGCGAGCGAACGGGGACCAGCCCUUAAGCUCUAUUUGUGUUAGUGGAACAUACUGGAAAGUUUGGCCAUAGUGGGUGAUAGCCCCGUACACGAAAAUGCAUUUAGAGUGAAAUCGAGUAGAUCGGGACACGUGAUAUCCUGAUUGAACAUGGGGGGACCAUCCUCCAAGGCUAAAUACUACUUGUCGACCGAUAGUGAACCAGUACCGUGAGGGAAAGGCGAAAAGAACCCCUGUUAGGGGAGUGAAAUAGAUCCUGAAACCGUAUGCAUACAAGCAGUGGGAGCACCUUCGUGGUGUGACUGCGUACCUUUUGUAUAAUGGGUCAGCGACUUACUUUUAGUGGCAAGCUUAACCGUUAGGGGAGGCGUAGGGAAACCGAGUCUUAAUAGGGCGAAUUAGUCGCUAGGAGUAGACCCGAAACCGGGCGAUCUAUCCAUGGCCAGGGUGAAGGUGGGGUAAUACCUACUGGAGGCCCGAACCCACUUAUGUUGAAAAAUGAGGGGAUGAGCUGUGGAUCGGAGUGAAAGGCUAAACAAGCCCGGAGAUAGCUGGUUCUCCUCGAAAUCUAUUUAGGUAGAGCCUCGCAUAUCACUGUUGGGGGUAGAGCACUGUUACGGCUAGGGCCUCAUCCCGAGGUACCAACCCGUUGCAAACUCCGAAUACCAACAAGUGCAAUUGCGGGAGACACACUGCGGGUGAUAAGGUCCGUAGUGGAGAGGGAAACAGCCCAGACCGUCAGCUAAGGUCCCAAAAUGAUACUCAGUGGAAAACGAUGUGAAAAGGCACAGACAGCCAGGAGGUUGGCUUAGAAGCAGCCAUCCUUUAAAGAAAGCGUAAUAGCUCACUGGUCGAGUCGUCCUGCGCGGAAGAUGUAACGGGGCUAAGCACGUAACCGAAGCUUCGGAUGCAUAAUUUAUUAUGCAUGGUAGGAGAGCGUUCUGUAGGCCUGCGAAGGUGUUCUGUGAGGGAUGCUGGAGGUAUCAGAAGUGCGAAUGCUGACAUGAGUAGCGAUAAAGGGGGUGAAAAGCCCCCUCGCCGAAAGCCCAAGGUUUCCUGCGCAACGUUCAUCGGCGCAGGGUGAGUCGGCCCCUAAGGCGAGGCAGAGAUGCGUAGUCGAUGGGAAAUAGGUUAAUAUUCCUAUACUUUAAUAUAAUGCGAUGUGGGGACGGAGAAGGUUAGAUCAGCCGGGUGUUGGAUGUCCCGGUUCAAGCGUGUAGGUUGGUUCUUUAGGCAAAUCCGGAGAGCUAAGACCGAGACGUGAUAACGAGUGUACUUUGUACAUGAAGUGAUUGAUACCAUGCUUCCAAGAAAAGCCACUAAGCUUCAGUUAUAUUAAAACCGUACCGCAAACCGACACAGGUGGGCAGGAUGAGAAUUCUAAGGCGCUUGAGAGAACUCUAGAGAAGGAACUCGGCAAAAUAACACCGUAACUUCGGGAGAAGGUGUGCCCCGGUAGUGUGUAGCGAUUUACUCGUGAAGCAUGAUGGGGUUGCAGUGAAAAGGUGGCUGCGACUGUUUAAUAAAAACAUAGCACUGUGCUAACACGAAAGUGGACGUAUACGGUGUGACGCCUGCCCGGUGCUGGAAGAUUAAAUGAUGGGGUGCAAGCUCUUGAUUGAAGUCCCAGUAAACGGCGGCCGUAACUAUAACGGUCCUAAGGUAGCGAAAUUCCUUGUC